This 273-nucleotide ribosomal RNA is filed under the name uncultured Ascomycota. RNAcentral's name for it is "partial 18S ribosomal RNA". It matches the Rfam family "Eukaryotic small subunit ribosomal RNA", at positions 548 to 827 of the family's 1831-position model. Lineage: Eukaryota; Fungi; Ascomycota. The record is from RNAcentral.
UUGGAGGGCAAGUCUGGUGCCAGCAGCCGCGGUAAUUCCAGCUCCAAUAGCGUAUAUUAAAGUUGUUGUGGUUAAAAAGCUCGUAGUUGAACCUUGGGCCUGGCUGGCCGGUCCGCCUCACCACGUGUACUGGUCCGGCCGGGCCUUUCCCUCUGUGGAACCCCAUGCCCUUCACUGGGUGUGGCGGGGAAACAGGACUUUUACUGUGAAAAAAUUAGAGUGCUCCAGGCAGGCCUAUGCUCGAAUACAUUAGCAUGGAAUAAUAGAAUAGGA